Molecule: long non-coding RNA, 2305 nt
Organism: Bubalus bubalis (water buffalo)
Lineage: Eukaryota; Metazoa; Chordata; Mammalia; Artiodactyla; Bovidae
Exons: 6
Source: RefSeq, a predicted model, not a curated record
GGGAAAUGUUGAGGACAUGUUAGGAAUGGCAUGCGGCCGUCCAAGGGACUGGACAGAGAUUGGGCAUCACUUGCCUAGAAGCGAGGACUGAAGCCUUAGCAAUGGGGGUGAGAGCACUGGGAGAGAGCUAGUCGCGAGGAUCAACUUUUCAUCUUGGAAGCACAGAGCUGCCGCAGCAACGUGAGAAACGCAAAUGCCGCUCGCUGACACUUCAGUUAGGCGCCACGAAGACGAGCAGCAGCUAGGAAGGUUUUGGGUAGAGACUGAAGAGAAAAAUAAAGGAAGCUUUGUGUGUGGCUUGUCCUUGACGCGGGCACCACUAUGAAGAGCUUGACAUGAGCCUUUGAGCCGAGAUGGGAGCAGAAGGGUCAGCCUUCCAUCCCUGCGGGCGCAGCACUGGCCAUCCCCCAUGGGCAGAAUUUGGUGAUGAACACGGAAGGACCUUGAAUUAGGACCAAAACAUGGCCGCAUCCUUGGAAGUUCACAGUCCAGGAGGGGCAAAACACACAACCGCAAAUGAUGGCUAGGAAACCUCCAGAGACAGACGCACAAGCUAUGGCCUAAGGAACCUGCCAGCUCCGGUCUUUACUCCCAUCACCAAGAGCCAGGAUGGCCAGGAGAGAGAGUCUGAUCGGGACACAGCUGUAACUGGCCCCGGGGCUGGGCCCUCAGGGUGCACGGGUCCCCGGCAGCGGGCACAGGACUGGGCAAAUCUCAGUGACCAGCGUGCCGGGGAGGGACCACCUGUGGUCGGAUGGAGAACCAGCCAAGGUUUGAAAAUGGGGCACGUGAGAAACGACCUUUCCUCACAUUAAACUUCACUUAAUGGAAAUAAAUGUUGUGCGGUUGCCGUGGCCCUGAGGAUAAAAAGCCUCUGGUAUCACCUCCUGCAGCCUCGGUCCCCACCCCGCCUUGGUAAACAGAGUUAGAGACGCACGAUUGGCUCCUGUGUGAAAGCAGCUUGGCUCCCGGUCAAGUCCAAGAUUUUUCGUUCUUAGUGCUUAAAAGAAUGGGAGGCAUGCAACCCAAAUCCACAACUACAAAGACAGCUCUCUAGGAAAACCCAGAUGUCAAGCAACAUCCGUUAGUUGUAUCCAAGGGAUCCCGCUCGGAGUUUGUGCUUGUUCCUCUUUUCUUCAUCAGUUUAAGUGCUUUCUGGCAGGUUCGGGAGGAAAAAAGCAGUUUGGGAAUGCAACAAAAGGGAUCACAGUAUCUAAAAAGAACAGAGAGAGGAAGAAAGCUGCGACUAUAUGACCAAUGAAGGCAGGAAAAGAACCAGGAGAAAAUGGCAUCUCAGGAGGAAAGAAGAGAGGAUCCAAGAGGGCUGCCCCUCGUGCUGAGAGCCUCAGUUAUUCUCAAAUGACGGAUGGAUGAGCAACCCAGCCACUCACAGAGCCAGGGAGCCAUCUGCGUGUUCCCCAGUCCACAGCCUCAUUUCACAGCUAAAGACUCCGAGCCCUAGGAAUGCAAGUUGGCUUGUUUGAGGUACCAUGGCUAAUUCAUGGGAAGUCCAUCACAGGCAACCAAAAUUCAUAGAGGUUGGAAUGAAAUAAUUGGAUUUUUCAAUAAGUCUUCCUUUAAAAAUAUAUGUGUGUGUAUAUUUUAGUCAAUACAUCUCAUCAUCAAUUUUCUUUACGUCCACUUACAGGUGAAAAACCCCACUCUGUUCCAAGCCAGGUGUAAGUCAGAACCAGCAUGACUGACUCAAUUCCAUUUUUCUACCUCUUUUUGAAUGAACAAUCACCAGCCUACCUGGAAACUUCAUUCGCCUUUCUCUCCCCAAGCAGUAGACCAUAAACUUCACUUUUGAACUGGCCAUAAACUCCCCAAAUUUCACUCCUAUAGAUUCCUCAGGUAACUAUGACAGAAACUGUAUUUUGCCCCAGCCUUGACUUUUCCAUUUUCUUUCCCCAAAUAUGUGCUACUUGCUACCCCCGCCCCCCCAGGGCAUGGAGACGCUCUGAAACAGACGGAGUUUCCUACAAACUGGGGGAACUUAUCCAGGCCUUCCAAUCGCUCAGCAACUACCACACAGCUUUAAAAAUAAAUCUCACGAGUGUUUCAAACCUGACAACUAAUCUAUUAUACAACUGAAAUUAUUCUUUGCAGAAAUGUUAAAUGUCACACCACAGAGCCUAAGAUUUUCAGCUCACUCCAUUAUUCCCAGAUAAAUCUCAGUAAAUGAAUCUAUAGAUAUAUAGAUAUACUCCCUGAUGCUGGGAAACACUGAGGGCGAGAGGAGAAGAGGGUGGCAAAGGAUGAGAUGGUUAGAUAGCAUCACCAACUCAUUGGUCACUAACCUGAG